UCUCAUCUCACAUAAGGCAAACUGUGAGUGGUGAUCUCAUCGAGCUAAGAACCGAGGGUUAUAGAGGAGAAGAACCUGAGCGUGGCUCAUCGUUUGAGCGUUGGAUCGUUGUCAUUCCGCAUAAAGAACGAGGGAUUCCAAAUUAGGUACGCAAACCUUUGUAUACUCCUCCUACAUGUUCGGUUUUCUAGCUACGUCGAUCCUGGGAAGCCACUUAGGCGGCCAACACAGCUAACUGCAUUUGUGAAAAUCGUCGAGGAGCACAACGAUCAGCUCUCAAAGAAAGUUCAGUCUGUGGUGAACAACAUUAGAAAAUAUGAACCUGUGGACCCGGGCCUUAUGAGGAGAAGUUAGCCUCGGCGUAUAGAUGAAUGCAGCAGAUGGCGGCAGGAGAGCGACAGGAGCUGUACAUACAUGUUGUCGCAUGUGCAAUCCAAGGGCUUCUACACGAGGGUUGAUGAUUAAUGAUCGCUAGGCAAUCAGCAAGAGAUGAUUAACCUGAAAGUACGAGUAUAUUGGUCAUCGGAAGAUUUCACGGCCGUCGGCAGUGGCUGUACCGCACGCUUUAUGUAGUGAUGGAGAGCAGUCAUAUUGUGCUUUUGAUCAUGGAAACAGGGCGAUUGGAGCCGACGGUUGCCUGGUCGGAAUGAGUCCUCUAGACUUGAUGACCAUGUGAUUAAUGGUCAAGAGGCAUAUUAUACAGUUCGAUAUGUUCCGAGGGGAAAAAAUAGCAAAUUAAAAGAUUUCGUUAAAUUAUUUUAAACUGAUCUUUUUUUUUCAAGGAGUAGUUUCAGAUAUUUCUAUCUCGAUCUGUAAUGAAAAUGUGGACGUUUAAUCAUUGCAUUUGAUGAUAUUUAUCUUAA
Molecule: long non-coding RNA, 863 nt
Organism: Eucalyptus grandis
Lineage: Eukaryota; Viridiplantae; Streptophyta; Magnoliopsida; Myrtales; Myrtaceae
Exons: 2
Source: RefSeq, a predicted model, not a curated record